CCUGGCCUAAUGACUAGAGUCAUGAGAAGAUGGUCUCUGCCUGACUGUGAGUGGAUGGUGCAUUUCAACCACAUGCCAGAAAUUUCGUGAGACUUCCCCAAAAUUCACGCAACAGAAGUCACAUCUGGGUGGGGUGUACGGCUCUCCUUCCUGGGAGGCAAUAGCAGGUAUCCCAUCUUCCCUGUGGCCCAUACUGCAGAGUCGAGGGGGAGUCACUGCCUGUACCAGAAAACACCCUGGAGCUGGUGGCCAAGGCAGUGACCACCACAGGUGUUUUACUAUAACUCUAGGAAUUAGGCAGUGGGACCUAAUGCUGUGCUGUGCCUCUUCCAGCGGCUGGGGAAGUGGCUCGGCCUUCUGCAACCUGGAGAUGCGCCAAAGCAGUCAGGAAGCCAUGGAGCUGAGAAGACCUCUGAUACCCGACCUGCCCAAGUGAGUGGUCUGGCUGGUCGGGCCUUUCCCUUCUGCCUUGCCUGGGCUCGCGCACUUCCAGAACCAUCUCUGGCAGAAGCCGGCUCCAUCAGCCUGCUCUGAGGGCGCAGAUCAGAACCCUCUUCAUGAUGAACCUGCCUCAGAAAAACCCAGAUAUGGUUUCAAAAGUGACCAGCGGAGGCUGAACAAACACCCUCUCCACCCUGACCUCUAACCCCUGCCCGCAAGAUAGGCUUAUUUAUUAAGCCAAAAAGAAACUUCAGAGAUUUCUCAACUUGUAUUCUCAGUGGAUUUUGGAUCUGUGAGUACAGAAACGACUUGAGAGCUAGAGAGAAGGUUUCCUGAGGGAAGUUCCAUCACUGAAUUAAUAGAAAUAAAAUCAGAGGAAGUGAAGAAGAUGCAGUGCUCUGGAAAUCUCAGAGGAAGACUCUGCAGAGAUGAAUGAAGGAGGAAUCAGAAGGUCUUACACCUACCAUCUUCCAAAAUCUGCUUUCCAACGCAAGUGAACUUUCCUGGACUCAGAGGGGAGGGAGGAGGAGGAAGGAAGCAGAUCAUCCCAGCAAACAGACCGCAAUGUGUUCUAAUCAAUGUGUUGAUUUUCUUUUUCCAGUCGGGCAGAACUCAAGCCCUCUUCCUCCCCUACUCAGGGCAACAGCGUCCUAAGCCCAUAUAUUACAUUACUGACAGAGACAGCCAGAGCAGUUCCUGCCCAGCAGUUAUGCAGUCGUGCCUUAAUAGACCCCUCCAAAAUAUUUAUUUUACAUCUCUGACUGGUGGGCAUUAAUCUCGCUCUCUCUCAUAGUCAAUAAAUUGAGGCUUUAAGUUAAUGGCCGACAUUAUGUGGCUAUUCCUGAGGCGGAGCUGGAAACAGGGCCAGGGCGCUGAUCCCCACACAUACCCUCAAUUUCUUGCUUAAGAUGUGAAGCCAGCUGUCUCGUCUGUCCCUCUGCACAGUGCUUGUAAAGUUGUUCAGAAAGUUCAUCAAGCUACACUACUCUGCAAAAUAAAAAUAUCA
This 1447-nucleotide long non-coding RNA is filed under the name Chinchilla lanigera (long-tailed chinchilla). RNAcentral describes it as "lncRNA (ENSCLAG00000029042.1)". Lineage: Eukaryota; Metazoa; Chordata; Mammalia; Rodentia; Chinchillidae. The record is from RNAcentral.